Molecule: ribosomal RNA, 389 nt
Filed under: uncultured bacterium
Lineage: Bacteria
Description: bacterial SSU rRNA
Rfam family: Bacterial small subunit ribosomal RNA
Source: RNAcentral
GACGAACGCUGGCGGCGUGCUUAACACAUGCAAGUCGAGCGGUAAGGCUCCUUCGGGAGUACACGAGCGGCGAACGGGUGAGUAACACGUGAGCAAUCUGCCCUUCACAUCGGAAUAACUUCGGGAAACCGAAGCUAAUACCGGAUACGACCAUCGGUGGCAUCAUCUGGUGGUGGAAAGUUUCCGGCGGUGGGGGAUGAGCUCGCGGCCUAUCAGCUUGUUGGUGGGGUAANGGCCUACCAAGGCGACGACGGGUAGCCGGCCUGAGAGGGUGACCGGCCACACUGGGACUGAGACACGGCCCAGACUCCUACGGGAGGCAGCAGUGGGGAAUAUUGGACAAUGGGCGAAAGCCUGAUCCAGCAACGCCGCGUGAGGGAUGACGGCCU